RNAcentral lists this ribosomal RNA (468 nucleotides) under uncultured bacterium. RNAcentral describes it as "partial 16S ribosomal RNA". It matches the Rfam family "Bacterial small subunit ribosomal RNA", at positions 28 to 507 of the family's 1533-position model. The record is from RNAcentral.
GACGAACGCUGGCGGCGUGCUUAACACAUGCAAGUCGAACGGAAAGGCCCUGCUUUUGUGGGGUGCUCGAGUGGCGAACGGGUGAGUAACACGUGAGUAACCUGCCCUUGACUUUGGGAUAACUUCAGGAAACUGGGGCUAAUAUCGGAUAGGAUCUCCUGCUGCAUGGUGGGGGUUGGAAAGUUUCGGCGGUUGGGGAUGGACUCGCGGCUUACCAGCUUGUUGGUGGGGUAGUGGCUUACCAAGGCUUUGACGGGUAGCCGGCCUGGGAGGGUGACCGGCCUCAUUGCGACUGAGAUACGGCCCAGUCUCCUACGGGAGGCAGCAGUGGGGAAUAUUGCACAAUGGGCGGAAGCCUGAUGCAGCAACGCCGCGUGCGGAAUGACGGCCUUCGGGUUGUAAACCGCUUUCGCCUGUGACGAAGCGUGAGUGACGGUAAUGAGUAAAGAAGCACCGGCUAACUACGUG